RNAcentral lists this ribosomal RNA (236 nucleotides) under uncultured bacterium. Its description in RNAcentral is "partial 16S ribosomal RNA". It matches the Rfam family "Bacterial small subunit ribosomal RNA", at positions 118 to 343 of the family's 1533-position model. The record is from RNAcentral.
UGGGUAACCUGCCUCAAAGAGGGGAAUAGCCUCCCGAAAGGGAGAUUAAUACCGCAUAAUAUGUUUAGGUCGCAUGACUUUAACAUCAAAGGAUUUUCUUUUAGAAAUUCCACUUUGAGAUGGACCCGCGGCGCAUUAGCUAGUUGGUGAGGUAACGGCUCACCAAGGCAACGAUGCGUAGCCGACUGAGAGGGUNAUCGGCCACAUUGGAACUGAGACACGGUCCAGCUCCUAGG